Molecule: transfer RNA, 65 nt
Filed under: Perkinsus olseni
Lineage: Eukaryota; Perkinsozoa; Perkinsida; Perkinsidae
Description: tRNA-Ser
Rfam family: tRNA
About the family: Transfer RNA (tRNA) molecules are approximately 80 nucleotides in length. Their secondary structure includes four short double-helical elements and three loops (D, anti-codon, and T loops).
Source: RNAcentral
UCCGAGUGGUUAAGGAGGUGGACUAGAAAUCCACUGGGCUCUGCCCGCGCAGGUUCGAAUCCUGC